CCUUACCUGGGACCAGAAAGUGCGAUAGUUCGGCAUUUUGUAAGCUAGCAGCAUUACCGCCAAAAAAAGGAAAAUAAGGACGCAAAUUCUCCACGUGCAGUAUUUUCAUUUCUGGGUGGCGGAAGAAAGGUUGUCUUACACCAAAAAAAAUCAAUUAGCUGAGCUGUAAUUGAUUGUUUUAGGCUCCGCUCGCGUAGCAGCUGUUUGCUGUGUGCUUGUGGUUUUCACAUUUCUCCCUGUCUUUCAGUCCGCAAUGGCCAGCUGACUGCGUUUGAGCACCGAGCUGUCUUUGUGGUAAAAGGUCAGGUUGUUGAUGGUGGCGGCCACGUUCACGAUCAACUCCUCGCUCUCCUGCACGGACCUCAGCUCUGACAUGGACACACACAAGAGAUGUCAGACGUCUUGUCAUGCUGGAUGCAGGUGGUGUUGCUGGCCAGCGCCGCGCCCACAUCAGGAUGGAUGCACAUGUUCGCCAGCACCCUGACCAGCUUCACCAGCACAUCCUCGCCCUCCCGUACGCUGGCCGCAGUGGGAGCCGGCGAGUCCUCCCUCAGCUGGUAGUCGUCGUACAGCCGCAGGAGGGUGUCCACGCAAUCCUCGCAGCGGAAGAGCUGCUGCCGAGCCUCGUCGCUUUUGGCCGUGAGGUUGCCCAGUGUGAAGAGGAGUCGCACUACGAGGUCCUGUGGGAGAGAGAUUCUAGAAACAUUGGUGCAGACAUCUUGGUCCUGGCGAUGGCGUUGCAGCACCAAGCAGAGCUGUGACAUCAGUGCGUAGGAGACAAAGAGCGGACGGGCCUCAGGUUGAUCAGCAAGGUUCCUCAAGGCGGCCGUCAGCUAAAGAGGUCAAAAGUCAGACAAAGAAGUGGAGUGGCUGUGAGCAGCAGAGCACUAACAACAGAGCCUGCACCUGCACAAAGAUGUGUCCGGCCAUUGUAAAGAGGCGUACGAUCGCAGCAUUUCCUGAGAGAAACUUCAGCGUGCCGACACAGUAAAACAACGCUUCUCCAGAUGUAGACACCUCCUCGCGGAGCAACAGUCCAAGUAGAAAGUCUAGAUGGAAGGGAACCAUCCAGUUAACCUUCAUGUGGUGCCAGCCUGUGCUCAUGAAACAGAAUUGAGUUCACCUAUGACAGAGUUGUUCUGGAAGAGGCUGUCAUUGGAUUCAUUGCGGCUGGUCUGGAAGACGAGCUUACAGAUGUUGAGCAGGUUGUUCCCGCUGACACGCAACUGAAAUAAAAGAUGUAAAAGCAAAUAAAAUGACAGGCUUUUUGUGAACAAGCAUCCUAAUGGAGGACUUUGAAGACUGACGGCGAGGCAGAGCUCGGCGACAUGAAGAUCAAGCCGCGAGGAGUUGAGGUCGAUGAGCUGAAACAGGGUUCGCAGUAUGGUGGAGCGCUUCUUGCAGCCAUGAUGGCCCAGCAUGCCAGCCUCUGCCAGGGCGUCAUGGAGAUUGGCACACAAGUCACACAGACGCUCCAGCGAGGCCUCAGAGCUCCCUGGGGGGAUUGUAUUGAAAAUAAGCGUCUGUUAAGUUUGAAUGUAUGUGAGCAAAACUGAAUGAACAGUGUUGAGCUCUAACAACAUCCUCCCUUUUCUAGGAAACGUCAGUGGAGUGGCACAAUUCCAAGGGAAAGGGUGAACUUGUUCCUUGUUUUUGAGGUAAAGUAAAAAGUGUUUCGAAAGCGAGAUGCCCCAAUUACAUUUUUUUUUAUCACAGGACGUUUGGUAGAAUAAAUAUUCACUGUUGAUCUUAAAAGUUCCCACAUUCGUUGUGUUGAUCGACAGUUUGUAAAGUAUGUUUAUAUUCAAGGCUGCCAGCAAUUUGAAGCACACGAGCAAAAAUAUUUUGUUUUCCAUUGAAAAGACAUUGCUGCGUUCUGUGGGGGGGACUUUGAUGAUGUCAACAUCAUUUAGAUCAAAUAGAUAAUUUAAGGCCAGCGUGUUGCACAAUAUUGACUUUUUAUCAGUUUUCACUUAUUAUUGUGUAGCUCUUACCACUUGCAGCUGUAGCCUUUAGCUCCUGGAGAAGAGGCGCUAUCCUAUCCCACUUUGACUCU
Dunckerocampus dactyliophorus (ringed pipefish) is the source of this 2056-nucleotide long non-coding RNA. RefSeq lists it as uncharacterized. The transcript has 6 exons. The record is from RefSeq and is a predicted model, not a curated record. Lineage: Eukaryota; Metazoa; Chordata; Actinopteri; Syngnathiformes; Syngnathidae.